Molecule: ribosomal RNA, 494 nt
Filed under: uncultured bacterium
Lineage: Bacteria
Description: partial 16S ribosomal RNA
Rfam family: Bacterial small subunit ribosomal RNA
Source: RNAcentral
GACGAACGCUGGCGGCGUGCUUAACACAUGCAAGUCGAACGGAAAGGCCUGCUUUCCCUUGUGGAUUGCGGGUACUCGAGUGGCGAACGGGUGAGUAUCACGUGAGUGAUCUGCCCCCAACUUGGGUAUAAGCCUGGGAAACUGGGUCUAAUUCCCGAUAGGACUGCAGGGUGGUGCCUGUGGUGGAAAACGAUUUUCUAGUGGUUGGGGAUGAGCUCGCGGCCUAUCAGCUUGUUGGUGGGGUAAUGGCCUACCAAGGCGGCGACGGGUAGCCGGCCUGAGAGGGUGGACGGCCACAUUGGGACUGAGAUACGGCCCAGACUCCUACGGGAGGCAGCAGUGGGGAAUAUUGCACAAUGGGCGGAAGCCUGAUGCAGCGACGCCGCGUGGGGGAUGACGGCCUUCGGGUUGUAAACUCCUUUCGACCGCGAGGAAGCCACCUGGUUGGAAGGGUGGUGACGGUAGUGGUAGAAGAAGCACCGGCUAACUACGUG